RNAcentral lists this ribosomal RNA (515 nucleotides) under uncultured Streptococcus sp. RNAcentral describes it as "bacterial SSU rRNA". It matches the Rfam family "Bacterial small subunit ribosomal RNA", at positions 27 to 524 of the family's 1533-position model. The record is from RNAcentral. Lineage: Bacteria; Bacillati; Bacillota; Bacilli; Lactobacillales; Streptococcaceae.
GGACGAACGCUGGCGGCGUGCCUAAUACAUGCAAGUAGAACGCUGAAGAGAGGAGCUUGCUCUUCUUGGAUGAGUUGCGAACGGGUGAGUAACGCGUAGGUAACCUGCCUUGUAGCGGGGGAUAACUAUUGGAAACGAUAGCUAAUACCGCAUAACAAUGGAUGACACAUGUCAUUUAUUUGAAAGGGGCAAUUGCUCCACUACAAGAUGGACCUGCGUUGUAUUAGCUAGUAGGUGAGGUAACGGCUCACCUAGGCGACGAUACAUAGCCGACCUGAGAGGGUGAUCGGCCACACUGGGACUGAGACACGGCCCAGACUCCAACGGGAGGCAGCAGUAGGGAAUCUUCGGCAAUGGGGGCAACCCUGACCGAGCAACGCCGCGUGAGUGAAGAAGGUUUUCGGAUCGUAAAGCUCUGUUGUAAGCCAAGAACGAGUGUGAGAGUGGAAAGUUCACACUGUGACGGUAGCUUACCAGAAAGGGACGGCUAACUACGUGCCAGCAGCCGCGGUAAU